AUUUCUUUGUGAUCUCUGUACGAAGUCUAUAAGGGACUGUAAUCUCGCAACGUUACUGACAAGUUACUUUAACCUUUAAUACGUGAUCACCGAAAAUUCUCGAAACGUUUUACUUCACACAUUUCUCGUUUUAACUAGUGUUUGCUCGUGUCGGAUUAAGUGCUCUUUACCAAAUUAUGGUUGUUACGAAAGUCGAUAACAUGGCAUCAUAUUCCGCUUACACGGGAAAACCGAAAAUGCUAUUUCCAAAGAAGCAGAGCGUAGUCGAGCCAUGGUUGACCUUGUGAAGAUUGGCAAAAAACUAAAAAAUCAAGUUGGAACAAUUUAUUGUAUAGAAGUGACAGAUAAUGACAUUUUGAUACAGAUUUAGCUAUUUUGAAGAACUACGUAUAUAAAAAGCAAUUAAUAUAAAUAUAAAAUAAAGGUAUUCAUAUAAAGC
Long non-coding RNA from Melitaea cinxia (Glanville fritillary), 439 nucleotides. RefSeq lists it as uncharacterized. The transcript has 2 exons. The record is from RefSeq and is a predicted model, not a curated record. Lineage: Eukaryota; Metazoa; Arthropoda; Insecta; Lepidoptera; Nymphalidae.